This 404-nucleotide ribosomal RNA is filed under the name uncultured bacterium. RNAcentral describes it as "bacterial SSU rRNA". It matches the Rfam family "Bacterial small subunit ribosomal RNA", at positions 29 to 422 of the family's 1533-position model. The record is from RNAcentral.
AACGAACGCUGGCGGCGUGCCUAACACAUGCAAGUCGAGCGGGAAAGUUCCCUUCGGGAGCGAGUACAGCGGCGAACGGGUGAGUAACACGUAGGUAACCUACCCUUGAGACUGGGAUAACCUGCCGAAAGGCGGGCUAAUACCGCGUACGCUCCUUGGACUUCGGUUCAGGGAGGAAAGCGAUACCGUGGGUAUCGCGCUCUUGGUUGGGCUCAUGUCCUAUCAGCUUGUUGGUGAGGUAACGGCNCACCAAGGCUUCGACGGGUAGCUGGUCUGAGAGGACGAUCAGCCACACUGGCACUGCGACACGGGCCAGACUCCUACGGGAGGCAGCAGUAAGGAAUAUUGCGCAAUGGGCGAAAGCCUGACGCAGCGACGCCGCGUGGGGGAUGAAGGUCUUCGGA